RNAcentral lists this ribosomal RNA (377 nucleotides) under uncultured bacterium. Its description in RNAcentral is "bacterial SSU rRNA". It matches the Rfam family "Bacterial small subunit ribosomal RNA", at positions 30 to 410 of the family's 1533-position model. The record is from RNAcentral.
AUUGAACGCUGGCGGCAUGCCUUACACAUGCAAGUCGAACGGCAGCGGGCCUUCGGGUGCCGGCGAGUGGCGAACGGGUGAGUAAUGCAUCGGAACGUGCCAUUGAGUGGGGGAUAACGUAGCGAAAGUUACGCUAAUACCGCAUAUUCUGUGAGCAGGAAAGCAGGGGACCGCAAGGCCUUGCGCUCUUUGAGCGGCCGAUGUCAGAUUAGCUAGUUGGUGAGGUAAAGGCUUACCAAGGCGACGAUCUGUAGCGGGUCUGAGAGGAUGAUCCGCCACACUGGAACUGAGACACGGUCCAGACUCCUACGGGAGGCAGCAGUGGGGAAUUUUGGACAAUGGCGCAAGCCUGAUCCAGCCAUGCCGCGUGAGUGAAG